Molecule: unclassified non-coding RNA, 274 nt
Filed under: Phialophora sp.
Lineage: Eukaryota; Fungi; Ascomycota; Eurotiomycetes; Chaetothyriales; Herpotrichiellaceae
Description: partial contains 5.8S ribosomal RNA, internal transcribed spacer 2, and large subunit ribosomal RNA
Source: RNAcentral
AACGCACCUUGCGCUCCUAGGUCUUCCGAGGAGCAUGCCUGUUUGAGUGCCCAGAAUUACUCUCAACCAAGACUCUGGUAUUGGUUGGAUCUGGGGUCUGCCGUCGACUAGUUCACGGCUCCUCCUAAAUGUAUUAGCUUAUUGGUGAUGAACCGCUGUCGGCUUGAUAUUAGUGUCUAUGCCUCAGCAGUCUGUGUGCCAUGGCUUACAGUCGUCCUUGGACAAUAUUCUGACCUCGGGCCUCAAAUCAGGUAGGAUUACCCGCUGAACUCAA